RNAcentral lists this ribosomal RNA (494 nucleotides) under uncultured bacterium. RNAcentral describes it as "partial 16S ribosomal RNA". It matches the Rfam family "Bacterial small subunit ribosomal RNA", at positions 28 to 507 of the family's 1533-position model. The record is from RNAcentral.
GACGAACGCUGGCGGCGUGCUUAACACUUGCAAGUCGAACGGAAAGGCCUGCUUUCCCUUGUGGACUGCGGGUACUCGAGUGGCGAACGGGUGAGUAACACGUGAGUGAUCUGCCCCCAACUUGGGUAUAAGCCUGGGAAACUGCGUCUAAUUCCCGAUAGGACUGCAGGGUGGUGCCUGUGGUGGAAAACGAUUUUCUAGUGGUUGGGGAUGAGCUCGCGGCCUAUCAGCUUGUUGGUGGGGUAAUGGCCUACCAAGGCGGCGACGGGUAGCCGGCCUGAGAGGGUCGACGGGCACAUUGGGACUGAGAUACGGCCCAGACGCCUACGGGAGGCAGCAGUGGGGAGUAUGGAGCAAUGGGCGGAAGCCUGAUGCAGCGACGCCGCGUGGGGGAUGACGGCCUUCGGAUUGUAGACUCCUUUCGACCGCGAGGAAGCCACCUGGUUGGAAGGGUGGUGACGGUAGUGGUAGAAGAAGCACCGGCUAACUACGUG